UUCGAGGGAGUUUUGAGUUUAUUGCUGCUUUAUGGUGAUUUUCUCGCAAUUUCCUUGAAUCAUUAUACGCUGUUAACCAAUGAUGAACGUGCUUUUGUGCCGUAAGGCCAUUAAUAUAAUACAACUUUUAACAACGGAUCUCUUGGCUCUGGCAUCGAUGAAGAACGCAGCGAAAUGCGAUAAGUAAUGUGAAUUGCAGAAUUCAGUGAAUCAUCGAAUCUUUGAACGCACCUUGCGCUCCCUGGUAUUCCGGGGAGCACACCUGUUCGAGUGUCGUGAAAUUUCUCAAGCUUGGAUGGCUUUUUUCUGUCCUUGGCCUUGGUUGUUGGGCUUUGCCGUGUCCUUCAAUGGGGNCCGCCGGCCUUAAAAGCAUUAGCUAAUCCUCGUGUGGCACUGGUUCUACUCAGCGUGAUAAUAAGUCUGAUCGCUGAGGACAUCUUUUGGGAUGGCCAGUUCUCAUUUGGGGUUGCUUCCAACUUGGUUUC
This 485-nucleotide ribosomal RNA is filed under the name uncultured Clavulina. RNAcentral's name for it is "eukaryotic LSU rRNA". The stretch from base 123 to 276 matches the Rfam family "5.8S ribosomal RNA". The record is from RNAcentral. Lineage: Eukaryota; Fungi; Basidiomycota; Agaricomycetes; Cantharellales; Hydnaceae.